RNAcentral lists this ribosomal RNA (983 nucleotides) under Xenoleberis sp. 1 HTMP-2021a. RNAcentral's name for it is "SSU rRNA". It matches the Rfam family "Eukaryotic small subunit ribosomal RNA", at positions 222 to 1187 of the family's 1831-position model. Lineage: Eukaryota; Metazoa; Arthropoda; Ostracoda; Myodocopida; Cylindroleberididae. The record is from RNAcentral.
CCAACGGGAUACUGUCCCUUUUCCUUGGUGACUCUGAAUAACUUUCUGCUGAUCGCAUGGCCUCGAGCCGGCGACAUAUCUUUCAAGUGUCUGCCUUAUCAACUUUCGACGGUAGGUUACAAGCCUACCGUGGUUAUAACAGGUGACGGGGAAUCAGGGUUCGAUUCCGGAGAGGGAGCCUGAGAAACGGCUGCCACAUCUAAGGAAGGCAGCAGGCGCGCAAAUUACCCACUCCCGGCACGGGGAGGUAGUGACGAAAAAUAACAAUACGGGACUCUACCGAGGCCUCGUAAUUGGAAUGAGUACAAUUUAAAAUCCUUAACGAGGAUCUAUUGGAGGGCAAGUCUGGUGCCAGCAGCCGCGGUAAUUCCAGCUCCAAUAGCGUAUAUUAAAGUUGUUGCGGUUAAAAAGCUCGUAGUUGGAUCUCAGUUCUGGGUGAGCACGGGUCCGCCAUAACAUUGGUGGACUGCUGACUUGCCCGGUGCAAAACCGCCCGGCUUCCCCCACGGUGCUCUUCACCGAGUGUCGUGGGUGGCCGACACGUUUACUUUGAGAAAACCAGAGUGCUUAAAGCAGGCGCAAGACGCCCGAAUGACUGUGCAUGGAAUAAUGGAAGAGGAUCUCGCUUCUGUCUUUGUUGGUUCCUCGGAAGGCGAGAUAAUGAUUAAUAGAAGCAGUCGGGGGCAUUCGUAUUGCGACGUUAGAGGUGAAAUUCUUGGAUCGUCGCACGACGAACUACUGCGAAAGCAUUUGCCAAGAAUGUUUUCGUUAAUCAAGAACGAAAGUUAGAGGUUCGAAGGCGAUCAGAUACCGCCCUAGUUCUAACCAUAAACGAUGCCGACUGGCGAUCUGUCCUAGUUACUCGCACGACUGGACAGGCAGCCUCCGGGAAACCAAAGUCUUUGGGUUCCGGGGGAAGUAUGGUUGCAAAGCUGAAACUUAAAGGAAUUGACGGAAGGGCACCACCAGGAGUGGAGCCUGCG